Molecule: transfer RNA, 85 nt
Filed under: Felis catus (domestic cat)
Lineage: Eukaryota; Metazoa; Chordata; Mammalia; Carnivora; Felidae
Rfam family: tRNA
About the family: Transfer RNA (tRNA) molecules are approximately 80 nucleotides in length.
Source: Rfam by way of RNAcentral
GCCUGGGUGGCUCAGUCGGUUGAGCGUCCGACUUCGGCUCAGGUCAUGAUCUCGCGGUCCGUGGGUUCGAACCCUGCGUCGGGCU